CUCAACUAUAAUUAAACUGUUGUGGUAUAAAAAGGGUUUUAAACUAGUGGUUACAUGUGGCUUUCAAAAACAGUAAUUAAAUAGCAAAACCAUCUGGUUGUAAUCUUUGGAAAAGUUCAUGCAAAUACAUGCAUACUUUAUGCACAUUCAUCAGUCAAAAUGUUGCAUUAAUGGUGCAAAUAAAAGUCAAGAUUAUUUGAUUUUUUUCACUUUAUCAACAUGAUAGCCUAAUCAGUUUUCAGUUUUCGGUCACAUGACUGGCAUGGAGCCCUAGCCGUCAAACAUCCAUAUAACCACAGCACUGUCCUGUUAAUUGAUUUGUUUCAAGCUGCAAAUAUUUAGAUCACUUCUCAAAACAGGAAAAACAUAUAAGAUAUGGGAACAACAUUUUGGGGCAAAUGUGAUCCAUAUACAGCACCUGCUUGUCUUUUUCAAUCACUAAAAACAGGUGGACAUUCUAAAAAGGAAUAUUAUGGAUAGAGGACUCGUAUUUUAGCCAAAAGCUACAGUUUUAAGUUUAAACAUUAACGAUGGAUUUGUUUCUUACAAACACGCAGCUUUUCACUUCACUGGAUGUUAACUGAUGGACUGGAGUGGUGUGGAUUACUUGAGGAUUAUUGUGAUGUUUUUAUCAGCUAUUUGGACUCUCAUUCUGACGGCACCCAUUCACUGCAGAGCAUCCACUGAGAAACUGAGUCAAAGACAGCAAGACAGAGACAGAACAUUGUGUCCAGGCAUACCCCAUCUGGUUCUCAUCUUGCUGCUUCUAUGGGAACGCUUCACUACCUUUCAAUAAAAAAAAAAAAAACAUGGAGAGAAAGAGAAACAUAUUAUCCCGUGUUCUCCAGGCAAUUCUACUCUAUCCACACUGACCUCAACAAAUUCAGCACAAACACACCCACACACAGGAACCAAAUCCAAACAUUUUUCAAACACAAAGACGCAUUAUUUUCAUAAUGGUUUUCAUAGGCAUUUUGUCCCUGUGGCUGAAGGAGAGAGGCUUGAUAAAUGAUGGGAGAUCAUUGGGGAGAAAUGGUAAUAAUUUAAUAGCUGGUAAAUUAAGUGUAAGAAAGCCACACACAGGGGUUUUCUGCAGAAAAAAAAGAAGAAAGGAUUUAUUGUUGUGGGUUUUGGUUAUUUUGCUGUUUUAGGCUGUAAGGACCUUUAAAAAUAGCUGAAAUAAUUUUUUAGCGUGAUAAGGGAUCAGAGUUUGAAUGUAUAACUUUACAUUCAAGAGACCACAAUGUGAUUACUAAAUAAAGUUACAUGGUAAAGAGUGGGAGAGUUACUCAACUCUAAAAACAUGAAUUACACCUCUGGAGGGAGAUGACACGAGGCUAUAAUAUUAUAACAACUCUGAAAUCAGAGCACAGUUGGAUAAAUUCGUAAAAUUGAAACUGAAUAUGGGACUAUACCUUGCUGUCCUGCAUCAGGACGUCUUUUAAAAUGCCCAGAUUGGUGUAUCCUUGAAAGCUGCUGGAUUUGAUUAGUUCUGUAUUAUGUUCUACAAUAUGUACUUCACCAAAGACUUUCUCUAGUUCUGUGUGAAGUUAGAGUGCCACAUGAAGGUCAGUGCAUUACUGUUGUUCAUUUUGUAUUGUCGGAUUAUCG
Cyprinus carpio carpio is the source of this 1611-nucleotide long non-coding RNA. The record is from Ensembl. Lineage: Eukaryota; Metazoa; Chordata; Actinopteri; Cypriniformes; Cyprinidae.